GGACGCAGGUAACUCCGAAGCCUAAUUCGCUAAGUUCGCCAGAAUAUGCGGGUUAGGCCGUGACCCUGAGUCACCAGGGCGGCCAUAGAAAUGUGUCCGUCUCCCGUAUUUGGAAAGGUGUUUCGUGGCUGUUCAA
This 136-nucleotide non-coding RNA is filed under the name Grimontia sp. RNAcentral's name for it is "MoCo sequence". It matches the Rfam family "Molybdenum/Tungsten riboswitch aptamer (Moco RNA motif)". The record is from RNAcentral. Lineage: Bacteria; Pseudomonadati; Pseudomonadota; Gammaproteobacteria; Vibrionales; Vibrionaceae.